This 1272-nucleotide long non-coding RNA is filed under the name Macaca mulatta (Rhesus monkey). RNAcentral's name for it is "lncRNA (ENSMMUG00000061837.1)". The record is from RNAcentral. Lineage: Eukaryota; Metazoa; Chordata; Mammalia; Primates; Cercopithecidae.
AUAUAGGAGUAGCAUUAUGUAAAUGAUUAUAUACGGCUCAAUGGAAUAUUAUGCAGCCAUUAAAAAUGUUUAUGAAAAGUUUAUAAAUGAAAAAUGCUUACAUUAUGAUUGAAGUAAGCAGGACGUAAUAUUUUAUGCUAUGGUCCCAGCUGUGUAAAUACAGGCUACUAAGUAUGCAGAGAAAAAGUUUGCAAGGAAACACACCAAAAUAUUAACAGUAGGUGUUGGGAAUAGGAAUGAUUUUAUUUUUCUUUCAACUUCUCAUGGCUUUAAGAAAAACCAAAACAACCCCUUUAUUUUGUUCUGAUGAAAAGUUAAUGCUUUCAUUGAAUAAAAUUAUAAACAUUAAAGAAAUAUGUCAUGUAGAAAGGUAACCCUUAUUCAUUGCUCUAUUUGCAUUUCUCUAACACGUGUUUUCGAAAUUAAUUUAUUAUGAGAAUAUCAGACCAGACUAUUUUUGAAGAAGCUGUACAUAUUCUUUUUGUCUUGUAGAAUUGUUUUGCUUUUUUUUUUUUUUUUAAAUAGAUGUAUCCUAAAACAAAUUAAGUUCUAUAUAAGGCAAUUGUAGUCAGCAUUAUGGUAUCUAGACUUUUCUAUAUAAGAGAGAAGAGGAGAACAAGCGCAGCUACUAGGAAAAUAGACCUGAUUUUGCUUGUUAUCAAAUAGGCAUUACUAUCGAGUCUGGAAUUUCUUUUUUCUUUUUUUUUUUGUUUUUUUGAGACAGAGUCUUGCUCUGUCACCUAGGCUGGAGUGCCGUGAUACGAUCUCAGCUCACUGCAACCUCCGUCUUCCAGGUUUAACUGAUUCUCCUGCCUCACUCAGCCUCCCGAGUAGCUGGAAUUACAGGCGUGCGCCACGAAGCCUGGCUAAUUUUUGGUAGAGACAGGGGUUUCACCACGUUGGCCAGGCUGGUCUCGAACUCCUGACCUCAGGUGAUCCACCCGCCUCGGCCUCCCAAAGUGCUGGAAUUACAGGCAUGAGCCACCAAGCCAGGCCAAGUCUGGAAUUUCUUAGAUGUGGAGUAAAGUCAGUCUGUUAACCAGGUCCUUGUUAUUCUAGAUAAUUCUUAUUGAUUCAAAAAUUGUUUUUCUGUGAGUUCCUUCAGAACGAGGUCAUAUGAGCUUUACAUCUCUCUUUCUCCCAUAUCACACGGGGCUUGCUCAGUAGCAGGCACGUAAUUAAACUUACAAAAGGACUGAAAGUUUGACGCAUGAUUCUUUCUUCUCCAGGAGAAAGGGUUACUGAGAGAUCAUGUUCACAAAUUAAUAUGCA